Long non-coding RNA from Mya arenaria, 816 nucleotides. RefSeq lists it as uncharacterized. The record is from RefSeq and is a predicted model, not a curated record. Lineage: Eukaryota; Metazoa; Mollusca; Bivalvia; Myida; Myidae. The transcript is spliced from 4 exons.
UUUACCCACACACACAGCAGCGAUAACUGUUUACAACCGAACAUUUUAUUGAAGUUUUAAGACUUAUUUGUGAAAAUGGUUAAACGAUGCGGAUGGGGAAUAUGUUAUGCGGAUGAAAGGUAUCCGGAGGGAGUAAAUGGAGGCCGAUUUAAACGAUUUCCGACCUAUAAUCCGACAUUGAGAAGUGCAAAUGCUGGAUUAAAGCCUGUGGACGGCCACACGAGAAACUGAAUGUUAACAGGAUAAACCAGCACGAAGAUGUCUGCUCGAAGCUUUUUCAUGGAGGAAAUGGACCAUCUAAAGAGUAUCCUGACCCAUUAUCAGCUGAUGGCUGGAGAAUAAAAUCUUCAAGAAAACUCCCCACAAAGCGGUCACUUGGAAAGGAAACUUAUGGCAGCAUUUAUACACAAAAUGCAAGUGUAUGCAUUUAAUACAAGAUAUCACAUGCCUAGAAAAGCUGGUCCAGGAUCCUGCAGACACUGUACCAGGAGUAGAAACACAGACCGAAUGUCCAUGGACAUCACCUUUGGAUAUGUUUGCACUUACCGCUCAGAAUGCUUCCCUAAAAGAACAGUUGUCACAAAAAGAAGUCCAAGUUGAAGAAUUACAGUUUGCACUUUCAUCAAAGUGUUGUGAAAUUCAGAUUUUAAAGCAACUGGUGGGAAUAUAAACCAACUUUAAAUGUCGAUAUAGUUCUGCUCAAAGAAGCAAGAGUUAAAAUUAAAUUUUGUUUAAAUAUUAUACAGGAAUCAUAUGAUUUUAUUUCUGCUUCUUUGAUAUAAUCGAAUAACUGUUAGUUUAUUCAUGUUUGGAAUA